CCUCAUUGCACAACAGUAUGACUGCUACAGAGACAGCAAACAGAGGAAGGGGAGAAUGGGUUACAAUCAGGUACUUGGCUAGGAUCAAGACUGGAUACUUUCGGCUUGGAUGAAAAACAGAAGAAGCUGUGACUACUCAGAGCCAGGGGGACAGCCAGACCAAAAAUUGUUGGGGAAAAAAGGAAGCUCAAAGGCCAAAAGAUAGAAGCCAAGUGUCAAAUCCAAGAACAAAAGGCAAGAAUCAAUGCAAGGAUCAAAAAGCCCCGUGACCUUGAUGUCAAAAUUCGAGCUGAUCAGAGCCAACCCAGCAGGAAAUGGGUUUCUAGAAGAACUGUCUCAGAUAUGUCUGGGCCUUCAUGAUCCCCUGUAAGGACCAGCAGGUAUAUGAUACCUGGGAAGAUGACAAUGGCUUCCAAGACUGAGGUUGGGCAGACCACCAAAGAUCCCAAAAUAAAAGCAAAGGUUUAAAUUUAAAUAACUAGCAUGGCAAGAAGCAAAGUACUCAUUGCAUUAUGAAAAUCUGAAAGUAGAAUUUCUCUUGGUGCAGCAAAGGAUCUCUAGUAAGAAAUAACAUGAGAAAACAUAGGUGUUAUGAUCGUUAUAAAGGUUGAUGAUUCUUAAGUACAUUCGAGGAUGCUAAAGUUCUAACAAUGUUCAGGUGCAGGGAUCAAGUGUCUUUUACAUAAUCCUUCCACCAGAAGACAUCAAGUUUAACUGAAAUUCAAAUCUGAACAAUAGGACAACCAUCUGGAAAAUAACGCUGCAAAACUACUACACAGCAAGUAAGUCAAUCUGCAAAGCUGCAAUGAAGUAAAACCGACUGAAGAGUAUGUUAUGUACUGUAGGCUAUACCAAUCUGUGCAUGUGAAUAACUGUCAAUAUCCCAACCUAAAAUAAUUUUAAUGAUGGGAAUAAACAUUAAAUAUUUACCAGCUGGUGCACCACUAGAUCAAUGGGCUCAUCUCCCUCCCCUGAGUACACACAAUAAUAAAUGAAUAGACUUGGGCUUCCAACAGCAAGAAAAAGAUUGCCUCAAAAUUGGAAAUCAAUGAUACCACUAUGGUUACAUCAAUAGGUGAAGCGAUAAAUGGAGGCUGCUGUCAUUUAAAAAAAUAUAUUGUAAUAACAGAGAAAAAAAAGCUAAAGGGAAGUUUUUCUUAUGUUUGCUUUAUUUACUUUCUAAUUUUCAAAAUGAAUUUUGACAGAAGUCCUUGGCCAUUUGUACUUUUUAAAAGAACAUGUUGUUCCAAACUAACAAUGUCUCCUAAUAUGAAAUCCAGUUUC
RNAcentral lists this long non-coding RNA (1284 nucleotides) under Homo sapiens (human). Its description in RNAcentral is "non-protein coding lnc-ACOD1-1:1". The record is from RNAcentral. Lineage: Eukaryota; Metazoa; Chordata; Mammalia; Primates; Hominidae.